GCUGCUGCUGCAGCGGCUGGUCUCUGUGUCCAGGUUGAUAUGACAACAUUCACUAUCUGAUGCUGAGAGAAAGGAAAGAAGAAAGAACACAAGCCUUUCCCACCUACACACCCAGGGAUCCAGGGCCCAGUUUCCCUCCCUGACCUGCUCUCAUGGGAACAGCUGCAGGAGACAGUGAGAGUUGCUGCGUGCUCUGCCCCUCGAAGUCUGUCAUCUCCUCCUGGGUGAAGGCCAUCUCCUCCAUCCUCAGGUACAUGACCUCACCGGGGCUUCUCAGCCCAUCUGAACGGCUGCCUGGGGAGGACAGUGAGUGCGUCACCUCCCUGCUUUGUAGAAGACCUGGGGCCCCAUGAGGACAAGAUGGCAGCUCUGGGCAGGACUGAGGAGGAAGGUAGGGCCGUCCCUACCCCACGGUAGCCCGGCCCAUCAUCCUCCCAACUGACUUACACGGCAGGCUGUUCCUGUUGCUCAGGAGGGUGACGGCAGGGUCAUCCUUGGGGGUCUGGGGUGUGCCCCGGGUCAUGGGGGCCUUGGUGGAGUCUCCGUCAGUGAAGGCCUCCACGUCGGGGGACUGAGGUGAGCUGUCCAUGCGGCAGGCGGUGAGCGCAUUCUGGUACUGCUGCCGUGUGAUCUGGAAGGAAGGGGCGGAAGCUCAGGAGGAGCUGGGCAGAGCCCUCCCUGGAUGUAGUCUGCCUCCCUGAGCUCAGAAGCAGCCCCACUAAGGUGCUUGGGAACGCCUGGCCUUGGUGGCCCGGGAUCUAUGAUCUGGGGGCCUUACCCAAGUUGUACCAGCCCAGCAGUUAAGGGACAAUGAGGGGACCCUUUUGCUUGUUUGCCACCAGAGCUCCCUCUGUUCAUUUUUAUUGGCUCUGGACUCUAGCACCUGGCGGAGCCAAGCCUUCUCCCGAGACCCAGGAGAGGAUGGAGGGCAUCUUCAGUUAGCAGGGUGGUUGCCCACUGAGAGGUUUAAAACACAGGCUUAUACUGUUGCCAAGGACCCUCUUCCUAAGGGGCAGUCAGUGGGGACUCGGCAAGAGCAAGACCCCCAGCUUGUGUCAAGGGCUGAAAUAAGAAACCUCCAAAUGAAGAACAUAAACUAGCAAAACCACCGAUGAAGCCAAUUUAUUACUAUUAUUUUUUUCUGAUGCCUUCCAUAGUCAUAUAGGAAUCCAUCUGAUAAAUCCUUCAUGAAAUUAGUGCCAGGAAUAAGCUCCUUUCUCUAGAUGAAUUAUAUACUUUCUUACACUGGAUGAGAACUCAAAUAUCCACUAGGUUUCCCCUUUUUCCUUUUAUGACCAGGAAGCUCACAAAUAAAUUUGUUUACUUGCAGUAACAAA
Molecule: long non-coding RNA, 1337 nt
Organism: Orcinus orca (killer whale)
Lineage: Eukaryota; Metazoa; Chordata; Mammalia; Artiodactyla; Delphinidae
Exons: 2
Source: RefSeq, a predicted model, not a curated record